Molecule: ribosomal RNA, 2008 nt
Filed under: Brucella melitensis
Lineage: Bacteria; Pseudomonadati; Pseudomonadota; Alphaproteobacteria; Hyphomicrobiales; Brucellaceae
Description: partial 23S ribosomal RNA
Rfam family: Bacterial large subunit ribosomal RNA
Source: RNAcentral
GAGUGAUCAAGUGUCUUAAGGGCAUUUGGUGGAUGCCUUGGCAUGCACAGGCGAUGAAGGACGUGAUACGCUGCGAUAAGCGUCGGGGAGGUGCGAAUACCCUUUGAUCCGACGAUUUCCGAAUGGGGCAACCCACCUUAGAUGACUAGAAAAUCUGUUUUGUUGGAGCAACGCUGGAUGGGUUUACACCCAUACAGACCGCUAGGUCGUCGGCCCAUGUGGGCCGCCCCCGCGGAGCGCCAGCAUUCCUCUGGAAUGCGUACGGCGCGUGAGCGAGAACAGCACAGCUUUCUAGUCAUCAUAAAUAAGGUAUCUAACCUUGAAUACAUAGGGGUUAGAAGCGAACCUGGGGAACUGAAACAUCUAAGUACCCAGAGGAAAGGACAUCAAACGAGACUCCGCUAGUAGUGGCGAGCGAACGCGGACCAGGCCAGUGGCUUUUGUGAAUAAAGUGGAACGAGUUGGAAAACUCGACCGAAGUGGGUGAUAGUCCCGUACACGUAGAAUAGCAGAAGUCCUUGAGUAGGGCGGGACACGUGAAAUCCUGUCUGAACAUGGGUCGACCACGAUCCAAGCCUAAGUACUCGUGCAUGACCGAUAGCGAACCAGUACCGUGAGGGAAAGGUGAAAAGCACCCCGACGAGGGGAGUGAAACAGUACCUGAAACCGGAUGCCUACAAACAGUUGGAGCCCAAGGUUUGUCCUGGGUGACAGCGUACCUUUUGUAUAAUGGGUCAGCGACUUAGUGUAUCGAGCAAGCUUAAGCCGGUAGGUGUAGGCGCAGCGAAAGCGAGUCUGAACAGGGCGUUCAGUUCGAUGCAUUAGACCCGAAACCAAGUGAUCUAGCCAUGAGCAGGUUGAAGGUACGGUAACACGUACUGGAGGACCGAACCCAUAUCUGUUGCAAUAGAUCGGGAUGACUUGUGGCUAGGGGUGAAAGGCCAAUCAAACUUGGAGAUAGCUGGUUCUCCGCGAAAUCUAUUUAGGUAGAGCGUCGACCGAAUACCCCCGGGGGUAGAGCACUGGAUGGGCUAUGGGGACUCACCGUCUUACUGAUCCUAACCAAACUCCGAAUACCGGGGAGUACUAGUCGGCAGACACACGGCGGGUGCUAACGUCCGUCGUGGAGAGGGCAACAACCCUGACCACCAUCUAAGGUCCCUAAGUUAUGGCUAAGUGGGAAAGGAUGUGAGGAUCCCAAAACAACCAGGAUGUUGGCUUAGAAGCAGCCAUCAUUUAAAGAAAGCGUAACAGCUCACUGGUCUAAAUAAGGGUCUUUGCGCCGAAAAUGUACCGGGGCUCAAGCCAUACACCGAAGCUGUGGAUGCACGUAUGUGCGUGGUAGCGGAGCGUUCCGUAAGCCUGUGAAGGGACAGUCGUGAGACAUCCUGGAGGUAUCGGAAGUGAGAAUGCUGACAUGAGUAACGAUAAAGGGAGUGAGAGACUCCCUCGCCGAAAGUCCAAGGGUUCCUGCUUAAAGUUAAUCUGAGCAGGGUUAGCCGGCCCCUAAGGCGAGGCCGAAAGGCGUAGUCGAUGGGAACCACGUUAAUAUUCGUGGGCCUGCAGGUAGUGACGGAUCGCGUGUGUUGUGAGGUCUUAUUGGAUUGAUCUUGCAGCGAAGCGGUUCCAGGAAAUAGCUCCUGCAUAUAGACCGUACCCUAAACCGACACUGGUGGACUGGUAGAGAAUACCAAGGCGCUUGAGAGAACUGCGUUGAAGGAACUCGGCAAAAUGCACGCGUAACUUCGGAAGAAGCGUGACCUCACUAUGGGCAACCAUAGGGGGGUGGCACAGACCAGGGGGUAGCGACUGUUUACCAAAAACACAGGGCUCUGCGAAGUUGCAAGACGACGUAUAGGGUCUGACGCCUGCCCGGUGCUGGAAGGUUAAGAGGAGAGGUGCAAGCCUUGAAUUGAAGCCCCAGUAAACGGCGGCCGUAACUAUAACGGUCCUAAGGUAGCGAAAUUCCUUGUCGGGUAAGUUCCGACCUGCACGAAUGGCGUAACGA